RNAcentral lists this long non-coding RNA (280 nucleotides) under Homo sapiens (human). RNAcentral describes it as "non-protein coding lnc-ZNF777-1:2". Lineage: Eukaryota; Metazoa; Chordata; Mammalia; Primates; Hominidae. The record is from RNAcentral.
CCUGGUCAAAUUAGGUUGCAUCUACAAGUUCAGGGGUCUGGUGAUGCACAUCUGAGGCCCAGGCUCCAUACCUUCAACCGCAUUGAGGUUCUGCCAGUCCAGGGUUUCUGGACGCCUUUCUGAAGCCAAUUAUUAGCACUCCAGGUAUUUUCAUUUUUCAUUGCAAUUUUUUCUUUGACCCAUGGUUAAUUCAGAAGUCUUUCAACUGUUGUCAAAGCAUACAUGAUUAUUUAGAAGUUACUUGUUACAAAUUUCUGCCUUUACUACAUUUUGUCAGAGA